Aethalodelphis obliquidens (Pacific white-sided dolphin) is the source of this 6196-nucleotide long non-coding RNA. RefSeq lists it as uncharacterized. The transcript is spliced from 3 exons. The record is from RefSeq and is a predicted model, not a curated record. Lineage: Eukaryota; Metazoa; Chordata; Mammalia; Artiodactyla; Delphinidae.
AAGGGAGGACCUGCAGAAAGUGCCUGGCAGACUAGAGGCUGACAGCUGACUAAGGACACAAGCGUCAGCUACAGCAGAUUGGAGGAACACAGCAUUCCUAUGGAAUUCCCGAGGAUGCUUGGGCUGGGACUCCUGGGAAAGUCCUGUACCUCCAGGAAAAAUGGGAAAAGGGUUUGGAGCACCAUUAUUGGACUGUUAAAGUGAAGCGUGACCACUAUAUUUGGGAAGUGAAUGAGACAUCUGGGUUUCACAUGGUUUCAAAGAACCUCAUGAACAUGAGGAGACAAUACGAGCAAAGGAAUGAGAAUAAGAAACAGCUCAUUGUUUGGAGGAAACUAAGCACCUUGAUGUUUUUGCAGCAUAAGAUAUGAGGCUGGAAUUGGUGUGAGCUUGGAUUGUAUGGGCAUCAUCUCAAACACUCUUUGGCUACUUUGGCACUUCUUGUUUCUACUCAUGUCAGAACUUCCUAGAGAACUCCAACCAUGGGAGGAACCAACUAUGAGCAGAACCGAUCUCCUAUCUUCUCCAUGUCUGUGCCUGCAGCAACAUGUGUGCUGCUGAAGAAAAAUCAACCACUGGGGCAGAGAGGUAUUAUCUUGUAACUGCAUGAGUAACAAUAUAGGUAUCUUACGCGGUGCCUGUGUGUGAAUUAGAACAAGACAUCCCUUCCUCAAGACACUUGGCUUCUCUGUCAGAAAGCUGUGGUGGUAUCUUGAUUUUGCAAGAACAAGGUAAUUUACUGGCAUCUGCCAGAAACUUGCCAUAACAAAUAUAUAAAUCUAUGAUGUUUAUGAUGUGAACAGUUCCCCUCUGAGGUAUGGCAACCUUGUGCAAUGCCUGCACAGCUGUACACAGUGGCCCUGAUGACUACCCUCAUUCAGGCACUCAUGCCAGUAAAUGUUUCUUUAGUGAAAUAUAUCAUGCCUUUGCCUGUCUUCUUAAACCCAACUCUUUUUUUUCCCCUUUAUUCUCAGGGGAUAUCUAUUCCUGAUACUUCAAGGAAACUGGAGCUACCAUAUGGGAACUCCCUAAUUUUCCUAUUAUCAUAUCCACAAUCUUUCCAUCAUUUACACCCACCCUUUCCCUCUUUCAUCUUCCUACCAAGACCAGUCCCUUUGUGUGGGCUCUGUAUUCCAAUCCUGUCGAUUCUUUCAUGGAAUAUGUCAUGAUUUUAAAUUCCAUAUUCCUCUAUAUGAAAUAGUUACUGCAUGCCUAUCUCCCUAUUAGAUCCACCCCCAGGGCAGGGAUCAGGUCUGUGUGGCUCAGCACUGGAUCCCUAGGGCUGUGUACAGAGUAGGGGCUCAAAAGAUUUGCCGAAUGGGCGAAUGCUAACACCUAGAGGCACCUGCUAACUGAAGUAUUGCUCUUCCUCUUUCAUUACAAUGGAUUGAAUGACAGUAUUAAUGUAAGCUUGUGAAGAGUAAGGCAAGCCAGCUUGUCCAAUUUAUGUAAAAUAGUACCAUGUCAUGAGAUGGCCAGAUAGCCAGGAAAUGCCUUGGGGGAAUGUUACAUGUUGAUAUCUACACGUUUAUACCUAUUACUUACAUAAAUCUAUGAUUUGUUUUUCUUGAAAUUGCUGUCUCUUAUUAAGCUGUGCGCCCUCAAGGUUGCCUAGCAUCAGUGUGGGAGGAAACUGACACAUGUUUGGAGAAUGAGUUACACCAAGUGGAGGAUGAAAACUUCUAAAGCAGAGCACAAAGAAACCGGGGGAUUAUUUUGCAACAAUGAGGAAGGUGCUGUAAGGUGCUGACUUGGAGGAGAGCUGCUGGAUUAAAGUAUCCUGCAGAAGUACAGCGCAAACCUAGCCCAUGACUUCCAACCGAGGUUUAGUGGUGGAAAGACAGGCAGGAAAAAUCUUAGAAGCAGACACACUGCUGGUUUUGAGCAUGCAUGUGUUGCGUGUGUGCUCUUACACACAGACACACGACACACAGAGACACACACAAACACACACACCAUCUCUCCAAAACAUGGCAGUAUCUCUAGCUUUCCUGUAUGAGGGUAGUCAUUAUAAUGCUUGUUUUUUCUUGUUAUCUUCCCUAAACGUAAGCAGAGCCUUAGUAUCCAGCAGUAACUUCAAGCUUAUUUCCUGCUGUCUUCCGGCCAGAAAGCUUGGCUGGUAUGACUGGUCUCGAAACCAGCUCUCUACUAAGUCAAGCUCGGGCUGAAAGGGACACUAGAUUUGGAGUCAGCAGGAAGGUAGGUCUAUGCCCAGUUGUGUCAGGCUCUCUGAUGUGACCACGUGUGAACCAAACUCUGGAAAUCUCUGCUUCCCUCCUUACAAUGCCUCUCUCAUAGCACACAGGCUGUGACUUAAAAAGUGGAAGAUGAAGAAAAUGGAAUGCUCAGAGUGUGAGCAGUUAUUAUUAGAGAUUCUUCCUGCAUCUGGCUUAUGCAAUUUUAACUAUGAUAGAAAUACAUUUAGUUUAGAAUAAAGUGGCAAGUUCUUCCAAAUUAGAUGGAACUUCAUGUCCCCAUGAAGUUCUGGGACGAUAGAAAUCUAGGGAAAUGCCGUACAUGGACUCUACUACUCAUCUGAACACUAAGCCAUCACACAUAUUCUCUCUCUCUGAUGAGUGUAUGUCUUAUCUCCCCAACUAAACUGUAUAACUGUUCCAACAGGGUCACUCAAUAAUUGGUCAGUGAAAUCACAGAAGGAAGAUCAAAGAAUGAAAAGUAAGCCUAGAGUUUCUGCUGACAUAUAGUCAGUUGAUUUAUCUUUGAAGUGAGUGCUUUCUUUGUAAGUGUAACUUUUUGCUCCAGAAUCAAAGCGAAAUGGUAAAAAAAAACCACAAAUAUUGCCACAGAGAAGGGAAACAUCUAGGCACCCAUGCUGAAAUGAAUCUUAAAACAUCUCCUUUUAAAAACCUGAUUCCUUCCUUGAAUCAACAUUCCCAUUAAUUCUGUAGCUUCUGUUCUUCAUAGAAUGGUCAGUCUGUCCCUCUGGGAGACUUUUUCUAGGAGAUUGGUGGGAAGGGUACCAGAAUUCUGACCAGUGUUUCAAGGAAAAACUCUGCCUUUAGAGAGGGAAGGCCAUAUGACGUGAAAAGGACAAGGUAGGGCUUGCUGGUCUGAUUCACAGGAAGACGAUGAGUAACAGCAAUGUUGUCAAGUGCUUUUGAGAAAAAGAAUUAUUCUCUAAAUGACAAGGGAUUCUCAACUAAUGCACAAACAGGUAUAUAAAAAUGCUUGACAGAAUACAUGAAAAAGGAACAUGAUUUCUAAUUGAAGCAGAGGUUGGAAAAAAACAGUAAAGGAUACCAAUUGGAGUCACAAAUCUAACACAAGUUCCUCAUAGGGUGUACUGGGCCCGAUCUAGAGGAAACAUGCACAUCUCAUUAUUAAGUGGAAACGAUGCAGCCAGAUAAGGUUAAUGGAGUACUUACCUCUUCGGCUUAAAUGUUAAACGCUUUCCAGAUCUCUUCACUAGAAAAACUGCAACUCUCAUGUGGACAGAUACACACUUAGAUCUAAAGGGGACACAGCAAGAUCAUCCAUUGGCUCCCACAUCUAAAACAUCCAAACACGUCUACCUCUUACGGCUUUAAAAUCUACAGAAAGGGGGGAUGCUUCUCAGCUCCCUUAGGACUCUCCCUGCACGAAUAAUUUCUUCAGGAUCUUUAUCACCAAGUAGUGCUGCAACCUGGUCUGAUAAUACAGCCUGAAGAGCUUCAGUUUUACUCUGAGCGAGUGGGCCAGCACUGGGUAGACAAAGUGGGCACAGUCAUGGAGAACACAGAGGGUUGGGAGACUAACAGAUAACCACAGUAGAUCCUUAAGCAGAGACGCAGCAUGACAAGACCGCUGUUCAGAGAAGCUAUAAUUUCGGUUCAGUGUGUGUGUGUGUGUGUGUGUGUGAGAGAGAGAGAGAGACAGACAGACAGACAGACAGACAGACAGAUAGACAGACACAUCUGUUAGGAGAUCUUUCAUUAAAGCCCCAGGUGAUGAAAGUCCAAGACUGGGUGGCCACAACGAGAAGCAAGAGGAAGGGAUCAAUGCAAGGAGACUUUUGACGGGAUUCUAAGCAGGAUAUGAUGGCUGACAGGACAAAGGGGAUGACACUUGGGAAUGAGUCAGGUUUUGAGUUUGGGGCCUAGAAGACUCUGGUAGGGCCAGUCAACAAAUGUGGUAAGUUGUAAAAAAAUAAAAAACAAAAGGCCUGUCUGGGGAGGAGACUGGAAGUCGAGAGCCGGCAAUGUCAUGUUGAGUAGUUGGGACACUGUAGUGUGGCCUGUGAGGAGACCUGAGUGUUUCCCCGAAGUUCUCAUAUAUCUUAAGUGAGAAAUCAGGCUUCAACAGAGAGAGAUCUUGCAGUCCACACUGAGAUUGUGGAACUGAAGUCAUGAGAGCUGGUCAGGUUGCUUAAAGAAUGUGAGCAGGGUGAACAGAGGACCUGAUGAAGAUUUUGAGGAAUUGCCCUGUUAGUCAGUUCGAGACAGAAAAGGCACCAGUCAGCGGGAUGAGGGAAGGAGAAAGGAAAUGUACCAGAAGAAGCAGAAGAGUGAAUAGCUGAGAAGUUAAUCAUUUCUCCUCUAUUUCCGAGACUUUGGGUGUAGUUCCCUGCACUGGUUUGAAUCAUGUGUGUGUCCACUUUUCUUCCUGACUGUCUGGAAACCUCUUCAGGGUAGGGACCCUGCAACCCUACUCUGUCCCUUCAGUGUCUAUCUGAUACACCUCCUCAAUAGAGAAGCAGCUACAGAGAAAGCCAAGUGUCAGGGGAACAGGUGGAAAGGUAGUAACACUGCUUAUUUUGUGUGUGCUUGAUUCCCUGGCAACAAGAAAGCAAACAGUGAUGAGCUAUCGCUUCAUAUCUACAAGUCCUGCUCUGGACUUCCUCCCCCCUGAUCCAGUCUCCCCGAUCCUCCCUCCUUUACAAACUCUUCUACCCUGUCCUCUGCUGUUCUAGUCAAGGCAGAAAGAACUCCUUCCCAUCUCCUUACCUCUUAAUGUUUUAAGGGGAGGCACACAAAAACAUCUCAUUACAGAUUCAGGCUGUAUCCUACCCCAAAAGGUAAAGUAGGGUUUUUAAUACUGGCCGUUUCACAGAAUUGUUGAGAAGCCUAGUAAAGUAAUGCAUGCAAAAUUUCUUGGCCCAGGGCCUGGCCCAGGAUGUGUUAACCAUCGCUCCCCUCACAGCUCAUCUUGCAUAUCUAGCACCGAGCACAUAGUCAUGGCUCAAAAAACAAACGAAUAGUUUAAGCUCAGUUAUAUAAAGCCGCCAUCACUCAUCACAAAGGCCUCAUGUUUGGGUGACUGUAAACCACCCAUACACAUUCAAAAACAAGCUCUUCCUAACUACAGAUUUCUCUUUUAUAAAGAAGAUACAUGCUUUUAUUUGCAGUCUGAAACAGAUAUUCAGUGUUUUGACAAAAAUGUUAGAAAACUGGAAUGAAGUAGAAAUAAGGUUAGAAAUAUUUUAAUCCAAUCUGAACCUCCCACCAUACUCUGUAGAUAAAAAUAAAUUAAGAAAGCAGGGCAAGUGAAAAGGAUUUGCUAAAUAUUUGAGAUAAAGCACAGUGUCGUGUUUGGAGGUGACAUGGAGGUAAGUCUCUUUAACGUCUUUGAGAGCCUUUAGCAUAUCUGAAGGAAAGAAAAAUACAUCAGAACAAGUACAAAAUACUACAUUAGAACCAUUACAAAGGAGCAUAUUAACCUAAAAGUGAAUUCCUGGAAGUUCUGGGUUUUAAGCCAGGCUUAGGGAAGGGAGUGGCCAUAAAUUGACAGGAAGGAAGUCAAGGAAGAGACUUCCUCUUUGGAUGAUACAACCAGGAAGGGCAGGGAAGUAGGAUGCUGCACUUGCCACAUGAAGGUUGGUAAAUACAAAAGGGGUUUUGAGGAGAAUCAGAGAGAUGAAACUGACGAGGCAUAACGUAAAAGGUUCUGAAAGAACACAUGGAUACAGGAAACUGGAUUUAAUACAGUUGUCUACUUAAGGCCAUUUUAGAUUCUUGGACGUAAUGCAAGAGUUUCACGAAGAUUUAAGCCACAGUUGGGAAUACUGGUUGAGUUUCAGCUGGAGAUGCUGGUCCCCUCUGCUAUGUGUCCAGUUAACCAGUAUACCUUCAUGGUUUGUCACGCUUUUCUCCUUUCUCACUGUUAAUUGUUAUUUUUCAGGAAACCUGCUGAUAGCAUUGGCUUCUACUUUUGUAACUGCAGAUUUCUUCUGGACUAAAGUGCAGUGUUUCAUGUCUGA